Molecule: long non-coding RNA, 465 nt
Filed under: Lepisosteus oculatus (spotted gar)
Lineage: Eukaryota; Metazoa; Chordata; Actinopteri; Semionotiformes; Lepisosteidae
Description: lncRNA (ENSLOCG00000021466.1)
Source: RNAcentral
GGUAUUCAACACUGACAUAACUCCUCCACUGCUCCACUAGUGUGCUGGCCAGCAGUGGACCACCUACAGAAGCAAUAUGUAGGAAAAGCCUUCAGACAUGUAAGUGCCUCCCACUGACCCCCCUCAUCUCCCCUUCAAAUUAGUUAAGCAAAUAAUGAACACAUGUCCUGACCCCCACCUUCAAUUUAAACGGACACAGAUCAGCCUCUGGGCACAUGGGCAUUCUUCCAGACUUCAGUGAACUGGACACCAGGCCCUGGAGACAUUAGGAAGAACAAACUGAACAUCGUUGUCCGGUCCUGCAGGGCUCUGGCAUGGGGGAGCUGAUAAGGGAAAAACUUGUGUUCAUCUUCCUUCUUGGUUGCUUGAUUCAAAAAUGCUUUGCCACCGUGCAACACUCCCAGAGUAAGUACAGUAUAACCUCCAUUUUAAACAUCCUUUAGUUUUCAUUUUUUACGUGGUACU